This is a long non-coding RNA of Ahaetulla prasina, 573 nucleotides long. RefSeq lists it as uncharacterized. The transcript is spliced from 3 exons. NCBI's taxonomy places the organism in Eukaryota, Metazoa, Chordata, Lepidosauria, Squamata, Colubridae. The record is from RefSeq and is a predicted model, not a curated record.
GCAGCAGCAGGGAACACAGGAUUGUCCAGAAGCGGGAAAGAGAUGGAGAAGGGGGUGGUUGCUAGCGGAGAGGGGAGAGUGUGAGGUUGGUGCUUCUGGGAUGAGGGGAGCCAGGGAAUGUCUGAGUCCGGUUCAUCCGGCCUCUCUUCCUCUCACAGCUGAGUAUCCUCCAACUGGCAUGGAUGGCAACUACGGCCUCAACAUGUGUUGCCAGUGCUUCUCCUAGUAUGCUGAGGACAUCAGCUUCAUUAAGGAUUGUGAAAGUUCAAAAACCCGCAGCCGACUGCUCACUUAGUCCUCCUGGCUGCAGAAUUUUGAUGAGGCCAUCUUUCGUCCCUGAAACUGUGCUUCCAUAAUUGCUCCCCUCUUGCGCUUACUGCUUUAUUGUCUCAGUAAGCUUUGGACUUUGUUCACUAAUGCUGCUCCUGUUCACCCAUCUGCCCUUCACUCGAUAUCCAAGACCUCCAAGGCCCUUCCAACUUUGCUAUCCUCAUAUAAACCAUGCAGAACCAAAAGGAAGGUGGCAAGAAGGAUGAAGGAUAGAGCUCAGCUGAUUUACUAGUUGAACAUCCC